This 495-nucleotide ribosomal RNA is filed under the name uncultured bacterium. Its description in RNAcentral is "partial 16S ribosomal RNA". It matches the Rfam family "Bacterial small subunit ribosomal RNA", at positions 28 to 507 of the family's 1533-position model. The record is from RNAcentral.
GAUGAACGCUGGCGGCGUGCCUAAUACAUGCAAGUAGAACGCUGAAGGAGGAGCUUGCUCUUCUGGAUGAGUUGCGAACGGGUGAGUAACGCGUAGGUAACCUGCCUGGUAGCGGGGGAUAACUAUUGGAAACGAUAGCUAAUACCGCAUGACAACAGUUAUUGCAUGAUAACUGUUUAAAAGGGGCAACUGCUCCACUACCAGAUGGACCUGCGUUGUAUUAGCUAGUUGGUGAGGUAACGGCUCACCAAGGCGACGAUACAUAGCCGACCUGAGAGGGUGAUCGGCCACACUGGGACUGAGACACGGCCCAGACUCCUACGGGAGGCAGCAGUAGGGAAUCUUCGGCAAUAGACGGAAGUCUGACCGAGCAACGCCGCGUGAGUGAAGAAGGGUUUCGGAUCGUAAAGCUCUGUUGUAAGAGAAGAACGAGUGUGAGAGUGGAAAGUUCACACUGUGACGGUAUCUUACCAGAAAGGGACGGCUAACUACGUG